GAUGAACGCUGGCGGCGUGCCUAAUACAUGCAAGUCGAGCGAACGGACGAGAAGUUUGCUUCUCUGAUGUUAGCGGCGGACGGGUGAGUAACACGUGGAUAACCUACUUAUAAGACUGGGAUAACUUCGGGAAACCGUAGCUAAUACCGGAUAAUAUUUUGAACCGCAUGGUUCAAAAGUGAAAGACGGUCUUUCUGUCACUUAUAGAUGGAUCUGCGCUGCAUUAGCUAGUUGGUAAGGUAAAGGCUUACUAAGGCAACGAUGCAUAGCCGACCUGAGAGAGGGAUCGCCCGCACUGGAGCUGAAACACGGUCCAGACUCCUACGAGACGCAGCAGUAGGGAAUCUUCCGCAAUAGGGGAGAACCUGGCGCAGCAACGGCGCGUGAGUGAUGAAGGUCUUCGGAUCGUAAAACUCUGUUAUUAGGGAAGAACAUAUGUGUAAGUAACUGUGCACAUCGUGACGGUACCUGAUCAGAAAGCCACGGCUAACUACGUG
This 497-nucleotide ribosomal RNA is filed under the name uncultured bacterium. RNAcentral describes it as "partial 16S ribosomal RNA". It matches the Rfam family "Bacterial small subunit ribosomal RNA", at positions 28 to 507 of the family's 1533-position model. The record is from RNAcentral.